RNAcentral lists this ribosomal RNA (252 nucleotides) under uncultured bacterium. RNAcentral's name for it is "partial 16S ribosomal RNA". It matches the Rfam family "Bacterial small subunit ribosomal RNA", at positions 524 to 776 of the family's 1533-position model. The record is from RNAcentral.
UACGGAGGAUCCGAGCGUUAUCCGGAUUUAUUGGGUUUAAAGGGUGCGUAGGCGGGCUGUUAAGUCAGCGGUAAAAGCCCGGGGCUCAACCCCGGCGAGCCGUUGAAACUGGCUGUCUUGAGAUGUCGAGAGGUAUGCGGAAUGCGCAGUGUAGCGGUGAAAUGCUUAGAUAUUGCGCAGAACUCCGAUUGCGAAGGCAGCAUACCGGCGGCGAUCUGACGCUGAGGCACGAAAGCGUGGGUAUCGAACAGG